GCGUGAAGACAUGGGGGAGAAGCUGAGGCUGGAGUCGCCCGUGGGGGCCGAGCCCGCCGUCUACCCGUGGCCGCUGCCGGUCUACGAUUCCAGGGAAAAGGCCUGGGCUGCGGCCACAGUGGGCGGGGCCCCCAGGCCAGGCCGCCCCUCCAGGAACCCUGGAAGGGCUCCUGGAGGCUCCAGGCGGCUCCUCCCCCGGCGCCGCCCUCCCUCCCGGAAGGCCUCGGGGCAAAGCGGUCCCACCUCCUCGCCCAGAACGGAGCCCGCGUUUCCGCAGAGCUGGAACUCCCGGCUCGGGGUCUCUUCCCUCCGCCGUCACUGAAGUGCCCCGGAGCCCGAGGGGAGGGCGUCCUCACUGAGGCGGCCAGCUCUGGAGGGGCCCCGGCGGCCGAAGCCGUGACAGUCCUGGGGACCGCGGGCCAGUGAGCUGUCUGAGAUGUCGUGGGAGUUGCCUCUAACCAGGACCUGAUACCCAAUGCCCUGACAACGCUGCCUUUUCAAAGCUUGAACUGCGACUCUUCACUUGGCUCCGCAGGCCCCGGGCAACUUGAACACCUGGCA
Long non-coding RNA from Eubalaena glacialis (North Atlantic right whale), 561 nucleotides. RefSeq lists it as uncharacterized. The record is from RefSeq and is a predicted model, not a curated record. Lineage: Eukaryota; Metazoa; Chordata; Mammalia; Artiodactyla; Balaenidae. The transcript has 3 exons.